GCCCUUCCUUCCGUCCAUUUUGCUGCUGCUUCUUCAUCGCAACGAUGACUACCACGACGAGCAUGGGAUCAUGGGAAGGACUGCAUUGGACCUUUCCCCCACAACUUGUGCGCUUGAGUAGAAUAAGAUGCUACCAGAACUUGCUGAUUAACUGCAGUCAUCUUGUGCAGUUUCCAUGCAGUCUGCUGGGCUGAGACUUGUCAAAUUCAAGGUUUCCUGCAGAUGAACCAUUUAUGGUGUACAUUGGCCUCUUAUGGGUGUUUCAGCCUUCCUCCUGUUGGCCAUAGCACAAUAUUUUGGCAGCACUGCCAAAAAUAACAGGUUAAAGGACUGGCUGUUUACCUAAAGGACCCGUGGUUAAAGACUUGGAUGGGUUGAGUCCUUCUAGUGGUGUUGGGUUCCACUCAAGAUGUACACAAUAUUUCUUCCACCUAAAACGUUUCUUCACUCAUAGGUGAGACGCUUGGUCUGAAGUCACCCAAGCAGGACUCUGGUGGACCUCCCAAGUUGUGUAUCUGAGCAGAAUGAGAUGCUACAAGGACUUGCUGAUCGAUUGCGGUCUUCAUGUACAGGUUUCCACUGCAAGUCGAUGUUGCUGAUGAAGCCUUCACUACAUGUUUGGAGAAGAGGGACACAGUUUUGUACUUCCAUGUAAUGCAAGCACUUGCUGAAAGCUGCUCAGGGGGACUGAAUAAAUGAAGUUGCUGAA
Danio aesculapii is the source of this 709-nucleotide long non-coding RNA. RefSeq lists it as uncharacterized. Lineage: Eukaryota; Metazoa; Chordata; Actinopteri; Cypriniformes; Danionidae. The record is from RefSeq and is a predicted model, not a curated record. The transcript is spliced from 14 exons.